This 305-nucleotide ribosomal RNA is filed under the name uncultured bacterium. RNAcentral's name for it is "bacterial SSU rRNA". It matches the Rfam family "Bacterial small subunit ribosomal RNA", at positions 334 to 656 of the family's 1533-position model. The record is from RNAcentral.
UAGCCUACGGGGCGCAGCAGUGGGGGAUAUUGCACAAUGGGGGGAACCCUGAUGCAGCGACGCCGCGUGGGUGAAGGAGUGCUUCGGCAUGUAAAGCCCUAUCGGCAGGGAAGAAGCAAGACGGUACCUGACUAAGAAGCCCCGGCUAACUACGUGCCAGCAGCCGCGGUAAUACGUAGGGGGCGAGCGUUAUCCGGAUUUACUGGGUGUAAAGGGCGUGUAGCCGGGCCGGCAAGUCAGCUGUGAAAUCCCAAGGCUCAACCUUGGAACUGCAUUUGAAACUGUUGGUCUUGAGUAUCGGAGAG